GUAGAUGAAAUUUGGAAGGCACCUAGGAGGAUCCUGAGUACGGCGGAACACGAGGAAUUCCGUCGGAAUCCGGGAGGACCAUCUCCCAAGGCUAAAUACUCCCUAGUGACCGAUAGUGAACCAGUACCGUGAGGGAAAGGUGAAAAGCACCCCGGAAGGGGAGUGAAAUAGAACCUGAAACCGUGUGCCUACAACAAGUCAAAGCCCGUUAAUGGGUGAUGGCGUGCCUUUUGUAGAAUGAACCGGCGAGUUACGAUUGCAUGCGAGGUUAAGUUGAAGAGACGGAGCCGCAGCGAAAGCGAGUCUGAAUAGGGCGUUUGAGUAUGUAGUCGUAGACCCGAAACCAUGUGAUCUACCCAUGUCCAGGUUGAAGGUGCGGUAAAACGCAC
RNAcentral lists this ribosomal RNA (389 nucleotides) under Escherichia coli. RNAcentral describes it as "partial 23S ribosomal RNA". It matches the Rfam family "Bacterial large subunit ribosomal RNA", at positions 375 to 766 of the family's 2925-position model. Lineage: Bacteria; Pseudomonadati; Pseudomonadota; Gammaproteobacteria; Enterobacterales; Enterobacteriaceae. The record is from RNAcentral.